This 253-nucleotide long non-coding RNA is filed under the name Dromaius novaehollandiae (emu). Its description in RNAcentral is "lncRNA (ENSDNVG00000017863.1)". Lineage: Eukaryota; Metazoa; Chordata; Aves; Casuariiformes; Dromaiidae. The record is from RNAcentral.
GCCGGCCUCAGUAAUUUAACAGUGGUCAAUGUUUUAAACCUAGCCUCUUUAAAACCAGCAACUAUUGGGAGGUGAAGCAUCAAAGCAAAGCAAAUAAAGGUCUGGGGACUAUUCUUGAGGAUACCUGAGGAACGACCUUGAAGCAGUCUGGAGUACUUGUCAUCUAGCCAACAGUAAAGGUGCCUGCUUUGAGACCCUGGGGUAUGACCCACGUAUGCUACUGACCUUGACUUGAGUGGUCUGACAAAUGUAG